Molecule: ribosomal RNA, 253 nt
Filed under: uncultured bacterium
Lineage: Bacteria
Description: partial 16S ribosomal RNA
Rfam family: Bacterial small subunit ribosomal RNA
Source: RNAcentral
UACAGAGGUCUCAAGCGUUGUUCGGAUUCAUUGGGCGUAAAGGGUGCGUAGGCGGCGCGGUAAGUCGGGUGUGAAAUCUCGGAGCUUAACUCCGAGCCUGCUUCCGAUACGGGCAGACUAGAGGUAGGCAGGGGAGAGCGGAACUCCUGGUGUAGCGGUGGAAUGCGCAGAUAUCAGGAAGAACACCAACGGCGAAGGCAGCUCGCUGGGACGGUACUGACGCUGAGACGCGAAAGCGUGGGGAGCGAACAGG